GGUCACAGCCCACCAGUUAGAACCACAACCAUAGCUACAGCUCCGGUUUCUCUUUUCUCUUGUCUGGUUAGGUAUAGUGGAAGUGCUGAUGUGUCGUGAAAGGGCGAGGAACUCUCUGGGACGUGUGUUUGUGGGUCAGAUGAGAGAGCUGGUGUCAUCGUUGCAUCAUGAUGCAGCGGUUCGUGUGGUGGUCUUCAGGAGUUUGAUACCCGGAGUCUUUUGUGCAGGGGCAGAUCUUAAGGAGAGAGCUCAGAUGAGUAACCCUGAGGCAGAGCUGUUUGUACAUGGCUACGAUCACU
Cyprinus carpio (common carp) is the source of this 299-nucleotide long non-coding RNA. RefSeq lists it as uncharacterized. The transcript is spliced from 3 exons. NCBI's taxonomy places the organism in Eukaryota, Metazoa, Chordata, Actinopteri, Cypriniformes, Cyprinidae. The record is from RefSeq and is a predicted model, not a curated record.